AGUAGGGAGGAAGGUAGUGUAGUUAACACCUGCAUUAUUUGACGUUACCUACAGAAGAAGCACCGGCUAACUCCGUGCCAGCAGCCGCGGUAAUACGGAGGGGUGCGAGCGUUAAUCGGAAUUACUGGGCGUAAAGCGCAUGCAGGCGGCCUGUUAAGUCAGAUGUGAAAGCCCCGGGGCUUAACCUCGGAAUUGCAUUUGAAACUGGCAGGCUAGAGUCUUGUAGAGGGGGUAGAAUUUCAGGUGUAGCGGUGAAAUGCGUAGAGAUCUGAAGGAAUACCAGUGGCGAAGGCGGCCCCCUGGACAAAGACUGACGCUCAGAUGCGAAAGCGUGGGGAGCAAACAGGAUUAGAUACCCUGGUAG
RNAcentral lists this ribosomal RNA (364 nucleotides) under uncultured bacterium. RNAcentral's name for it is "bacterial SSU rRNA". It matches the Rfam family "Bacterial small subunit ribosomal RNA", at positions 438 to 793 of the family's 1533-position model. The record is from RNAcentral.